UACGAAUGGGGCAAGCGUUGUUCGGAAUCACUGGGCGUAAAGCGUAUGUAGGCGGCUUUUCAAGUCAGAAGUGAAAGCCUGGGGCUCAACCCCAGAAUUGCUUUUGAAACUGAAUCGCUAGAGUCCCGGAGAGGUUGGCGGAAUUCCGAGUGUAGAGGUGAAAUUCGCAGAUAUUCGGAGGAACACCAGUGGCGUAGGCGGCCAACUGGACGGGAACUGACGCUGAGAUACGAAAGCAUGGGGAGCAAACAGG
This 253-nucleotide ribosomal RNA is filed under the name uncultured bacterium. Its description in RNAcentral is "partial 16S ribosomal RNA". It matches the Rfam family "Bacterial small subunit ribosomal RNA", at positions 524 to 776 of the family's 1533-position model. The record is from RNAcentral.